AUUGAACGCUGGCGGCAUGCCUUACACAUGCAAGUCGAACGGCAGCACGGGUGCUUGCACCUGGUGGCGAGUGGCGAACGGGUGAGUAAUACAUCGGAACGUACCUUAUCGUGGGGGAUAACGCAGCGAAAGCUGUGCUAAUACCGCAUACGCCCUGAGGGGGAAAGCGGGGGAUCGCAAGACCUCGCGCGAUUAGAGCGGCCGAUGCCUGAGUAGCUAGUUGGUGGGGUAAAAGCCCACCAAGGCGACGACCAGUAGCUGGUCUGAGAGGACGAUCAGCCACACUGGGACUGAGACACGGCCCAGACUCCUACGGGAGGCAGCAGUGGGGAAUUUUGGACAAUGGGGGCAACCCUGAUCCAGCAAUGCCGCGUGAGUGAAGAAGGCCUUCGGGUUGUAAAGCUCUUUUGUCAGGGAAGAAACACCGGCUCUAACACAGUCCGGGAAUGACGGUACCUGAAGAAUAAGCACCGGCUAACUACGUGCCAGCCGCCGCCGUAA
Molecule: ribosomal RNA, 501 nt
Filed under: uncultured bacterium
Lineage: Bacteria
Description: partial 16S ribosomal RNA
Rfam family: Bacterial small subunit ribosomal RNA
Source: RNAcentral